UCUACCUGAUAGAAGGGGAUAACUACUGGAAACGGUAGCUAAUACCGUAUAAUGUCGUAAGACCAAAGAUGAGGGACCUUCAUAGGCCUCAUGCUAUCAAAUGAACCCAGAUGGGAUUAGCUAGUAGGUGGGGUAAUAGCUCACCUAGGCGACGAUCUCUAGCUGGUCUGAGAGGAUGACCAGCCACACUGGAACUGAGACACGGUCCAGACUCCUACGGGAGGCAGCAGUGGGGAAUAUUGCACAAUGGGGGAAACCCUGAUGCAGCUAUGCCGCGUGUGUGAAGAAGGCCUUCGGGUUGUAAAGCACUUUCAGCGGGGAAGAAGGCACUAGUGUAAAUAGCACUAUUGAUUGACGUUACCCGCAGAAGAAGCACCGGCUAACUCCGUGCCAGCAGCCGCGGUAAUACGGAGGGUGCAAGCGUUAAUCGGAAUUACUGGGCGUAAAGCGUACGUAGGCGGUUUGUUAAGUUAGAUGUGAAAUCCCCGGGCUUAACCUGGGAACUGCAUUUAAAACUAGCAAGCUAGAAGUCUCGUAA
This 538-nucleotide ribosomal RNA is filed under the name Sodalis-like secondary symbiont of Schizolachnus obscurus. RNAcentral describes it as "bacterial SSU rRNA". It matches the Rfam family "Bacterial small subunit ribosomal RNA", at positions 125 to 655 of the family's 1533-position model. The record is from RNAcentral. Lineage: Bacteria; Pseudomonadati; Pseudomonadota; Gammaproteobacteria; Enterobacterales; Bruguierivoracaceae.